UACGGGGGGGGCAAGCGUUGUUCGGAAUUACUGGGCGUAAAGAGCUCGUAGGUGGUUUGUCGCGUUGUUCGUGAAAACUCACAGCUUAACUGUGGGCGUGCGGGCGAUACGGGCAGACUGGAGUACUGCAGGGGAGACUGGAAUUCCUGGUGUAGCGGUGGAAUGCGCAGAUAUCAGGAGGAACACCGGUGGCGAAGGCGGGUCUCUGGGACGGUACUGACGCUGAGACGCGAAAGCGUGGGGAGCGAACAGG
Molecule: ribosomal RNA, 253 nt
Filed under: uncultured bacterium
Lineage: Bacteria
Description: partial 16S ribosomal RNA
Rfam family: Bacterial small subunit ribosomal RNA
Source: RNAcentral